AAAGGAGGCGACUCCGGCAUAGGAUGGCCAUGCGUCGCAUUAGCUAGUCGGCGGGGUAACGGCCCACCGAGGCGACGAUGCGUAGGGGUUCUGAGAGGAAGGUCCCCCACACUGGUACUGAGACACGGACCAGACUCCUACGGGAGGCAGCAGUGAGGAAUAUUGGUCAAUGGGCGCAAGCCUGAACCAGCCAAGUCGCGUGAGGGAAGACGGUCCUAUGGAUUGUAAACCUCUUUUGUCGGGGAGCAAAGCGCGGUACGAGUACCGCGAAGGAGAGUACCCGAAGAAAAAGCAUCGGCUAACUCCGUGCCAGCAGCCGCGGUAAUACGGAGGAUGCGAGCGUUAUCCGGAUUUAUUGGGUUUAAAGGGUGCGUAGGCGGAUUUGUAAGUCAGCGGUAAAAAUGCGGUGCUCAACGCCGUAUCGCCGUUGAAACUGCAGGUCUUGAGUGAGCGAGAAGUAUGCGGAAUGCGUGGUGUAGCGGUGAAAUGCAUAGAUAUCACGCAGAACUCCGAUUGUGAAGGCAGCAUACCGGCGCUCAACUGACGCUGAGGCACGAAAGCGUGGGGAUCGAACAGGAUUAGAUACCCUGGUAGUCCACGCAGUAAACGAUGAAUGCUAACUGUCCGGUCCGCUUAAGGGCUGG
RNAcentral lists this ribosomal RNA (644 nucleotides) under uncultured bacterium. RNAcentral describes it as "bacterial SSU rRNA". It matches the Rfam family "Bacterial small subunit ribosomal RNA", at positions 202 to 842 of the family's 1533-position model. The record is from RNAcentral.